This 477-nucleotide ribosomal RNA is filed under the name uncultured Flammeovirgaceae bacterium. Its description in RNAcentral is "bacterial SSU rRNA". It matches the Rfam family "Bacterial small subunit ribosomal RNA", at positions 28 to 505 of the family's 1533-position model. The record is from RNAcentral. Lineage: Bacteria; Pseudomonadati; Bacteroidota; Cytophagia; Cytophagales; Flammeovirgaceae.
GAUGAACGCUAGCGGCAGGCCUAAUACAUGCAAGUCGAGGGGCAGCAUUAACUUCGGUUAGAUGGCGACCGGCGCACGGGUGCGUAACGCGUAUGCAACCUACCUUUUACUGGGGGAUAGCCCGAAGAAAUUCGGAUUAAUACCCCAUGGUAUGAUGAGAUCGCAUGAUUUUAUUAUUAAAGUUUUUCGGUAAAAGAUGGGCAUGCGUAAGAUUAGCUAGUUGGUAAGGUAACGGCUUACCAAGGCAACGAUCUUUAGGGGUUCUGAGAGGAUGAUCCCCCACACUGGUACUGAGACACGGACCAGACUCCUACGGGAGGCAGCAGUAGGGAAUAUUGGUCAAUGGGGGCAACCCUGAACCAGCCAUGCCGCGUGCAGGAAGACGGCUUUCUGAGUUGUAAACUGCUUUUAUAUAGGAAGAAAAAGCCUUGCGAGGUUCUAUGACGGUACUAUAUGAAUAAGGACCGGCUAACUCCG